CGGCAGGCCUAACACAUGCAAGUCGAGCGCACUCUUCGGAGUGAGCGGCGGACGGGUUAGUAACGCGUGGGAAUAUACCCGGUACUAAGGAAUAGCCACUGGAAACGGUGAGUAAUACCUUAUACGCCCUUCGGGGGAAAGAUUUAUCGGUAUCGGAUUAGCCCGCGUUAGAUUAGAUAGUUGGUGGGGUAAUGGCCUACCAAGUCUACGAUCUAUACCUGGUUUGAGAGGAUGAUCA
This 238-nucleotide ribosomal RNA is filed under the name uncultured bacterium. Its description in RNAcentral is "partial 16S ribosomal RNA". It matches the Rfam family "Bacterial small subunit ribosomal RNA", at positions 40 to 306 of the family's 1533-position model. The record is from RNAcentral.